UGAAGGGUGUUUUGGUGAUAGGUGAGUGGAAAUAAGGUUUAUGGAAGGUUUUAGGUAGUGGGGUUUUCAGUUUUAAUGGAGGUUAGAAGGUUUUUGAGAGAAAGAGAGUAAGAGUGAUGAGAGAGAAUAAUGAGUGGGUAAUGAAAAAUCUGAUAAUGAUAAGGUUAAUGGGGAAAAGUUAUGGUUAAUGGUGGAUUAAGUGGGUGGGUCCCACGAAAAAUUCAAAUUUUC
This 231-nucleotide long non-coding RNA is filed under the name Lathyrus oleraceus (garden pea). RNAcentral describes it as "Pisum sativum (pea) long non-coding RNA (PSAT_LNC004600)". The record is from RNAcentral. Lineage: Eukaryota; Viridiplantae; Streptophyta; Magnoliopsida; Fabales; Fabaceae.